Molecule: transfer RNA, 67 nt
Filed under: Hydrothassa glabra
Lineage: Eukaryota; Metazoa; Arthropoda; Insecta; Coleoptera; Chrysomelidae
Description: tRNA-Ser
Source: RNAcentral
GAAAUAUGAAAUUCAAAAAUAAGCUUCUAACUUAUUUAUUAAGCGAUGAAAUUUCGUUUAUAUUUCU